UACGGAGGGUGCAAGCGUUGUUCGGAAUCAUUGGGCGUAAAGCGCGCGCAGGCGGACUGUUAAGUCUGAUGUGAAAUCCCUCGGCUCAACCGGGGAACUGCAUUGGAUACUGGCAGCCUUGAGUCUCGGAGAGGAAAGCGGAAUUCCCAGUGUAGAGGUGAAAUUCGUAGAUAUUGGGAGGAACACCAGCGGCGAAGGCGGCUUUCUGGACGAUGACUGACGCUGAGGCGCGAAAGCAUGGGUAGCAAACAGG
RNAcentral lists this ribosomal RNA (253 nucleotides) under uncultured bacterium. RNAcentral's name for it is "partial 16S ribosomal RNA". It matches the Rfam family "Bacterial small subunit ribosomal RNA", at positions 524 to 776 of the family's 1533-position model. The record is from RNAcentral.